Molecule: ribosomal RNA, 253 nt
Filed under: uncultured bacterium
Lineage: Bacteria
Description: partial 16S ribosomal RNA
Rfam family: Bacterial small subunit ribosomal RNA
Source: RNAcentral
UACGUAGGGUGCGAGCGUUAAUCGGAAUUACUGGGCGUAAAGCGUGCGCAGGCGGUUUUGCAAGCCGGAUGUGAAAUCCCCGGGCUUAACCUGGGAAUGGCAUUUGGGACUGCAAGGCUGGAGUGCGGCAGAGGAGACUGGAAUUCCUGGUGUAGCAGUGAAAUGCGUAGAUAUGCGGAGGAACACCGAUGGCGAAGGCAAUCCCCUGGGCCUGCACUGACGCUCAUGCACGAAAGCGUGGGGAGCAAACAGG